AAACCAUUAUACGGGUAAUUUUUUAUCAACUUCUUAAACCUCUUCCAAGCUUCACUCAACGUUUCUUGAUCCUUUUGUUGAAAAUUUGUGAUUUCUCGCUGCCUCU
Benincasa hispida (wax gourd) is the source of this 106-nucleotide small nucleolar RNA. The record is from RefSeq and is a predicted model, not a curated record. NCBI's taxonomy places the organism in Eukaryota, Viridiplantae, Streptophyta, Magnoliopsida, Cucurbitales, Cucurbitaceae.